RNAcentral lists this small RNA (29 nucleotides) under Bombyx mori (domestic silkworm). Its description in RNAcentral is "ovarian small RNA-30058". Lineage: Eukaryota; Metazoa; Arthropoda; Insecta; Lepidoptera; Bombycidae. The record is from RNAcentral.
UCUGUGUUUCCUCGGCACAUAAGUGCGGU